UUAAAAUGUUAAUAUUAUGAACUAAAGUAGUAUCAGUUAUGUUCUUUAAAUUUAAAGAUUUUGGCGGUAUUUUAGUCUAUUCAGAGGAACCUGUUCUGUAAUUGAUAGUCCACGAUUAACUUUACUUAAAUUUAAAAGUUUGUAUAUCGUUGUUUAUAGAAAAUUUUUUAAGAAAAAUAAUUUUUAAUAAAUUUAAUUAAAUCAUAAAUCAAAUCAAGGUGCAGUUUAUAUUUAAGUAGAAAUGGGUUACAAUAAAUUUAUUUAAACGGAUUUAAAUUUUAACAUAUUUAAUGAAGGAGGAUUUGAUAGUAAUUUUAUUUAAUUUAAUAAAAUGAUUAUAGCUCUAGAAUAUGU
Molecule: ribosomal RNA, 354 nt
Filed under: Dineutus sp. KBMDisp481
Lineage: Eukaryota; Metazoa; Arthropoda; Insecta; Coleoptera; Gyrinidae
Description: partial 12S ribosomal RNA
Source: RNAcentral